This 253-nucleotide ribosomal RNA is filed under the name uncultured bacterium. Its description in RNAcentral is "partial 16S ribosomal RNA". It matches the Rfam family "Bacterial small subunit ribosomal RNA", at positions 524 to 776 of the family's 1533-position model. RNAcentral also lists the same sequence under 1 other name. The record is from RNAcentral.
UACAGAGACUGCAAGCGUUAUUCGGAUUCACUGGGCGUAAAGGGUGCGCAGGCGGCCAAGUGUGUCAGGUGUGAAAUCCCGAGGCUUAACCUCGGAACUGCGCCUGAAACUACUUGGCUAGAGUACUGGAGAGGGUAACGGAAUUCACGGUGUAGCAGUGAAAUGCGUAGAUAUCGUGAGGAACACCAGAGGCGAAGGCGGUUACCUGGACAGUUACUGACGCUCAGGCACGAAAGCGUGGGGAGCAAAAGGG